UAAACCCUUAAAACAAUGUUUUUUAGGCUUUUAACCUAAAGGAGUGGGGUGUUAAUUUUAGCCUUCAGGGUUGA
RNAcentral lists this transfer RNA (74 nucleotides) under Anadara cornea. RNAcentral's name for it is "tRNA-Val". Lineage: Eukaryota; Metazoa; Mollusca; Bivalvia; Arcoida; Arcidae. The record is from RNAcentral.